AAAGGAAUUGACGGGCACCCGCACAAGCGGUGGAGCAUGCUGUUUAAUUCGACAAUACGCGAAAAACCUUACCUAGAUUUGACAUCCCCGGCAAUGCUAUAGAAAUAUAGCGGAGGUUACCCGGGUGACAGGUGGUGCAUGGUUGUCGUCAGCUCGUGUCGUGAGAUGUUUGGUUAAGUCCAAUAACGAGCGCAACCCUCGUCUUUAGUUACUAACAUUUAGUUGAGAACUCUAAAGAUACUGCCAGUGUAAGCUGGAGGAAGGUGAGGAUGACGUCAAAUCAUCAUGCCCCUUACAUCUAGGGCCACAGGCGUGCUACAAUGGCCAGUACAACGAGUCGCAACACGGUGACGUGAAGCUAAUCUCUUAAAGCUGGUCUCAGUCCGGAUUGGAGUCUGCAACUCGACUCCAUGAAGUUGGAAUCGCUAGUAAUCCCGAAUCAGAAUGUCGGGGUGAAUACGUUCCCGGGUGUUGUACACACCGCCCGU
This 488-nucleotide ribosomal RNA is filed under the name uncultured bacterium. RNAcentral describes it as "bacterial SSU rRNA". It matches the Rfam family "Bacterial small subunit ribosomal RNA", at positions 903 to 1397 of the family's 1533-position model. The record is from RNAcentral.